AGUGAACGCUGGCGGUAGGCCUAACACAUGCAAGUCGAACGGCAGCACAGUAAGAGCUUGCUCUUACGGGUGGCGAGUGGCGGACGGGUGAGGAAUACAUCGGAAUCUACUUUUUCGUGGGGGAUAACGUAGGGAACCUUACGCUAAUACCGCAUACGACCUACGGGUGAAAGCAGGGGAUCUUCGGACCUUGCGCGAUUGAAUGAGCCGAUGUCGGAUUAGCUAGUUGGCGGGGUAAAGGCCCACCAAGGCGACGAUCCGUAGCUGGUCUGAGAGGAUGAUCAGCCACACGGGAACUGAGACACGGUCCAGACUCCUACGGGAGGCAGCAGUGGGGAAUAUUGGACAAUGGGCGCAAGCCUGAUCCAGCCAUACCGCGUGGGUGAAGAAGGCCUUCGGGUUGUAAAGCCCUUUUGUUGGGAAAGAAAAGCAGCAGGUUAAUACCCCGCUGUUCUGACGGUACCCAAAGAAUAAGCACCGGCUAACUUCGUG
Molecule: ribosomal RNA, 492 nt
Filed under: uncultured bacterium
Lineage: Bacteria
Description: partial 16S ribosomal RNA
Rfam family: Bacterial small subunit ribosomal RNA
Source: RNAcentral